UACCCUACGGGACGCAGCAGUGGGGAAUAUUGCACAAUGGGGGGAACCCUGAUGCAGCGACGCCGCGUGAGUGAAGAAGUAUUUCGGUAUGUAAAGCUCUAUCAGCAGGGAAGAAAAUGACGGUACCUGAGUAAGAAGCCCCGGCUAACUACGUGCCAGCAGCCGCGGUAAUACGUAGGGGGCAAGCGUUAUCCGGAUUUACUGGGUGUAAAGGGAGCGUAGACGGCGAUGCAAGUCUGAAGUGAAAGCCCGGGGCUCAACCCCGGGACUGCUUUGGAAACUGUAUGGCUG
Molecule: ribosomal RNA, 291 nt
Filed under: uncultured bacterium
Lineage: Bacteria
Description: partial 16S ribosomal RNA
Rfam family: Bacterial small subunit ribosomal RNA
Source: RNAcentral